GUUCGCCACUUCAGCAGCACAUAUACUAAAAUUGGAACGAUACAGAGAAGGUUAGCAUGGCCCCUGCAUAAGGAUGACACACAAAUUCAUGAAGUGUUGUAUAUUUUU
Molecule: small nuclear RNA, 108 nt
Filed under: Echinops telfairi (small Madagascar hedgehog)
Lineage: Eukaryota; Metazoa; Chordata; Mammalia; Afrosoricida; Tenrecidae
Source: RNAcentral